This 267-nucleotide long non-coding RNA is filed under the name Elaeis guineensis (African oil palm). Its description in RNAcentral is "long non-coding RNA (EGUI_LNC042131)". The record is from RNAcentral. Lineage: Eukaryota; Viridiplantae; Streptophyta; Magnoliopsida; Arecales; Arecaceae.
UGCACUACAAUAUUGAAAUCUAUGUCGAUGAGAUUACUAGUAUUUGUAACUGUAGAGAAGUCUUACAUCAAUAAAUGAUAUGAAGACUGUUGUGAUUCAAUGUUAGUGGUUUUAGCAGACUAGAUUUUUAACUAAAAAUAUUAUUCAUUCAGGAUAUUUGCAUGUAUGGCCACAUGAGGUACACUUAGUCCGAGAGUCAUUUUCAAAUUAUAUAUAUGAUAAAUAUAUUUUUUUGAAUAAUAAAAUGGAUCUUAGCAAUGUCGCCCA